GUUUGACUGAUGGUACUACUACACCCUCUGAUACUACUAAGAGUUCUGCUGUUGAUAUGAUGGUAGCUGACUCUGGUGAUUCAGCAACAGUUAAAACCCCCACAGCAUUCUCAGGCUCAACUACUACCUUUACUCAGCCCUCAGAGCGUCACACUUUUAGU
This is a long non-coding RNA of Osmerus eperlanus (European smelt), 161 nucleotides long. RefSeq lists it as uncharacterized. The transcript is spliced from 3 exons. The record is from RefSeq and is a predicted model, not a curated record. NCBI's taxonomy places the organism in Eukaryota, Metazoa, Chordata, Actinopteri, Osmeriformes, Osmeridae.